AGUUAUUUGUCUGACCCGCAAAAGUAAGUACCUUGAAAGUACUUUAAAGGAGUUAAAUUCUCCUAAUAACUU
Molecule: transfer RNA, 72 nt
Filed under: Oncopodura yosiiana
Lineage: Eukaryota; Metazoa; Arthropoda; Collembola; Entomobryomorpha; Oncopoduridae
Description: tRNA-Ser
Source: RNAcentral